Molecule: non-coding RNA, 603 nt
Organism: Pelobates cultripes (western spadefoot toad)
Lineage: Eukaryota; Metazoa; Chordata; Amphibia; Anura; Pelobatidae
Source: the annotation of a GenBank genome assembly
CUGACACUCACACACUGCACCCCUGACACUCACACAAACACACUGCACCCCUCACACUCACACACACACACACACACUGCACCCCUGACACUCACACACACUGCACCCCUGACACGCACAGCACCCUCACACACUGCACCCCUGACACGCACAGCACCCUCACACACUGCACCCCUGACACGCACAGCACCCUCACACACACACUGCACAUCUGACCCUCACAGCACACACACUGCACGUCUGACCCUCACAGCACCCUCACACACACACUGCACGUCUGACCCUCACAGCACACACACUGCACGUCUGACACUCACAGCACCCUCACACACACACUGCACCCCUGACACGCACAGCACCCUCACACACACACUGCACAUCUGACACAGCACAAACAAAAUGCACCCCUAACACUCAGAGCACCCUCACACACACACACUGCACCCCUGACACACACAGCACACACACUGCACCCCUGACACUCUCAGCACCCUCACACACACUGCACGUCUGACACAGCACAAACAAAAUGCACCUCUAACACUCACAGCACCCUCACACACACACACUGCACCCCUGACACACACAGCACACACACAGCAC